GGAAAAAUGGCUCGGACUGUGGCGGCUUCGGCGGCUCAGGUUGUGGUAGAGGCGGAGGCUCAGGCAGCUUGAGAUUGAAGACCAAAUUUCCGUAUACCAAUCACCGCACAAACCCAGGCUAUUUGUUAAGUCCAGUCACAGCGCAAAGAAACAUAUGCGGAGAAAAUGCUAGUGUGAAGGUCUCCAUUGACAUUGAAGGAUUUCAGCUACCAGUUACUUUUACGUGCGAUGACACCCUGUUGAAGAACUCUUAGAUUGUUAUCACAACCAAGUAGAACUGGCUCUUCAAAUUGAAUCGUGUUCCUUCUUCAGUUCUAAUGCUGUCCCCCUAAAAGUCACAAUGGUGAAUGCUGACCCUAUGGGAGAAGAAAUUAAUGUCAUGUUUAAGGUUGGUGAAGAUCUUCGGCAAGAUAUGUUAGCUUUACAGAUGAUAAAGAUUAUGGAUAAGAUCUGGCUUAAAGAAGGACUAGAUCUGAGGAUGGUAAUUUUCAAAUGUCUCUCAACUGGCAGAGAUCGAGGCAUGGUGGAGCUGGUUCCUGCUUCCGAUACCCUCAGGAAAAUCCAAGUGGAAUAUGGUGUGACAGGAUCCUUUAAAGAUAAACCACUUGCAGAGUGGCUAAGGAAAUACAAUCCCUCUGAAGAAGAAUAUGAAAAGAUGAUUCCUUCAGGGUUACCAGAACUUAGAAGUAUUCAAGAUUUGAAAUACGUUAGAGAUGCACUUCAACCCCAAACUACAGACGCAGAAGCUACAAUUUUCUUUACUAGGCUUAUUGAAUCAAGUUUGGGAAGCAUUGCCACAAAGUUUAACUUCUUCAUUCACAACCUUGCUCAGCUUCGUUUUUCUGGUCUUCCUUCUAAUGAUGAGCCCAUCCUUUCAUUUUCACCUAAAACGUACUCCUUUAGACAAGAUGGUCGAAUCAAGGAAGUCUCUGUUUUCACAUAUCAUAAGAAAUACAACCCAGAUAAACAUUAUCUUUCCUAAUAGGAUGGUUCUAGGAAGAACACACAUAAAAGAUGUAGCAGCCAAAAGGAAAAUUGAGUUAAACAGUUACUUACAGAGUCUGAUGAAUGCUUCAACGGAUGUAGCAGAGUGUGAUCUUGUUUGUACUUUCUUCCACCCUUUACUUCGUGAUGAGAAAGCUGAAGGGAUAGCUAGGUCUGCAGAUGCAGGUUCCUUCAGUCUUACUCCAGGCCAAAUAGGAGGAGCUGUGAAAUUAUCCAUCUCUUACCGAAAUGGUACUCUUUUCAUCAUGGUGAUGCAUAUCAAAGAUCUUGUUACUGAAGAUGGAGCUGACCCAAAUCCAUAUGUCAAAACAUACCUACUUCCAGAUAACCACAAAACAUCCAAACGUAAAACCAAAAUUUCACGAAAAACGAGGAAUCCGACAUUCAAUGAAAUGGGAAUUUCGACGCAAGCUGGCGUCAGCCUCAAAUUCCCGCUCUGGCCACAAGGCUGACCAAAGACCGAUGCAUGCCGGGAUGAGGCCCGAUUGACGAUCUCUUGCGACGCUGAAAUGCAUUUCGGGAGAUGUAGUCACACAGACGGGAGGUGGCUGCGCAGCGUAGCUCCGCCUCCUGCGUGAGAGGAAGCGG
Molecule: small RNA, 1593 nt
Filed under: Pan troglodytes (chimpanzee)
Lineage: Eukaryota; Metazoa; Chordata; Mammalia; Primates; Hominidae
Description: processed transcript
Source: RNAcentral